This 64-nucleotide transfer RNA is filed under the name Abaria herringbona. RNAcentral's name for it is "tRNA-Pro". The record is from RNAcentral. Lineage: Eukaryota; Metazoa; Arthropoda; Insecta; Trichoptera; Xiphocentronidae.
CAAAAAAUAGUUUAAUUAAAAAUUAUAAUUUUGGAGAUUAUUGAUAAAUAAUAUUUUUUUUUGA